RNAcentral lists this ribosomal RNA (465 nucleotides) under uncultured bacterium. Its description in RNAcentral is "partial 16S ribosomal RNA". It matches the Rfam family "Bacterial small subunit ribosomal RNA", at positions 28 to 507 of the family's 1533-position model. The record is from RNAcentral.
GACGAACGCUGGCGGCGUGCUUAACACAUGCAAGUCGAGCGGGGCCCCUCCUUCGGGAGGGUGUCCUAGCGGCGAACGGGUGAGUAACACGUGGGCAACCUGCCCUCAGCUCUGGGAUAACUCCGGGAAACCGGGGCUAAUACCGGAUACGACCUCCACGGGCAUCUGCGGAGGUGGAAAGUUUUUCGGCUGAGGAUGGGCCCGCGGCCUAUCAGCUAGUUGGUGGGGUAGUGGCCCACCAAGGCGACGACGGGUAGCCGGCCUGAGAGGGCGACCGGCCACACUGGGACUGAGACACGGCCCAGACUCCUACGGGAGGCAGCAGUGGGGAAUAUUGCGCAAUGGGCGAAAGCCUGACGCAGCGACGCCGCGUGAGGGACGAAGGCCUUCGGGUUGUAAACCUCUUUCAGCAGGGACGAAGCGAAAGUGACGGUACCUGCAGAAGAAGCACCGGCCAACUACGUG